UCCCUGGUGGCUCAGCUGUAAAGAAUUUGCCUGCAAUGCAGGAGAUGCAGGUUCGAUCCCUGGCUCGGGAA
This 71-nucleotide transfer RNA is filed under the name Ovis aries (sheep). It matches the Rfam family "tRNA". From Rfam's summary of the family: Transfer RNA (tRNA) molecules are approximately 80 nucleotides in length. Their secondary structure includes four short double-helical elements and three loops (D, anti-codon, and T loops). Further hydrogen bonds mediate the characteristic L-shaped molecular structure. tRNAs have two regions of fundamental functional importance: the anti-codon, which is responsible for specific mRNA codon recognition, and the 3' end, to which the tRNAs corresponding amino acid is attached (by aminoacyl-tRNA synthetases). tRNAs cope with the degeneracy of the genetic code in two manners: having more than one tRNA (with a specific anti-codon) for a particular amino acid; and 'wobble' base-pairing, i.e. permitting non-standard base-pairing at the 3rd anti-codon position. Lineage: Eukaryota; Metazoa; Chordata; Mammalia; Artiodactyla; Bovidae. The record is from Rfam by way of RNAcentral.